GUGCUCGCUUCAGCAGCCCAUAUACUAAAAUUGGAACAAUACCGAGAAGCUUAGCAUGGCCCCUGUGCAAGGAUGACACGCAAGUUUGUGCAGCUUUCCAUAUUCUU
Molecule: small nuclear RNA, 107 nt
Filed under: Mus caroli (Ryukyu mouse)
Lineage: Eukaryota; Metazoa; Chordata; Mammalia; Rodentia; Muridae
Source: RNAcentral